This 72-nucleotide transfer RNA is filed under the name Cricetulus griseus (Chinese hamster). It matches the Rfam family "tRNA". From Rfam's summary of the family: Transfer RNA (tRNA) molecules are approximately 80 nucleotides in length. Their secondary structure includes four short double-helical elements and three loops (D, anti-codon, and T loops). Lineage: Eukaryota; Metazoa; Chordata; Mammalia; Rodentia; Cricetidae. The record is from Rfam by way of RNAcentral.
UGGUAAAUAGCUCAGUGGUAGAAUACUUGCCUGCAAAGCAGGAGUCCCUAGAUUCAAGUUCCAGCAUUGCAA